Molecule: long non-coding RNA, 1191 nt
Organism: Cryptomeria japonica (Japanese cedar)
Lineage: Eukaryota; Viridiplantae; Streptophyta; Pinopsida; Cupressales; Cupressaceae
Exons: 4
Source: RefSeq, a predicted model, not a curated record
UCUUUUCCAGAUUUAGAGUAGUAAAGAAUACCAUAGCAUGUGAUCAAGAAGUAGCUCUAGCAUAGAGAUAAAAGACAAUUCAUAAUUACAGUUUAAUUUGAAUUUUAUUAGGAGAAUUUGUGUUUUAAUGCUGGAAUGAGAAUUUGAUUUCAUUUUCUACGGGCGGGGAUAUCUGGAUGAGCAACUCACACAACUACAACAGCUAUAGGAUGGGAGGAAUCUUGAGUCUGUUGUGGAAGUGGUUUCUCUCUUCAUCCAAGAUGCUAAGAAAAUCAUCAAUGAUUCGUCCAAAACUUUGUAUGCUCCCUAUCUAAAAGGGAAAAGAGAUUGAUAUUAAAAGGCAUAUAGGUUCUCUAUGAUGCAUUGGCUGAAUAUAGAGUAAGCUGGAAAAAAGCCCUUCAAUUUCUAAAUCAACGAUUCUCAUAAUCAAAGCAGACAAGCAAGAAUGAUUGUCAACCCUACAUUCUGCUUAUAGAUGAGCUUGAUCUUCUUGUCACAAGAAAUCAAUUGGUAUAGUAAACACAAUGGAUCUGCCAAAUAAAUUGCUUCCACGUAUAGAAAGUCAUAUGGGAAUGAAAAGAUUGUGCUUUGGCCCCUAUUCUUAUCAACAGCUACAGGAGAUUAUUUCUAGUCAUCUAAAUGGAAUUGAGGCAUUUGAAAAACAGGUUGUGUUGAGUUUGUUUUAUGGAAGUGUUUUUCCAAAUGAACUUUUGGAUAAACACGUAUUGCAAGUUGCAGUAGUUUUUGGAGAUGCUCAUUGAGCAUUGGAGCUAUGUAGCCGUGUUGCAAAGCUUGCAAAAUUCAAAGUCCAACAGUUGAAUGCUCCUCAAUUUUCUAUCCCGUUGCAGAUUAUCUCCCCCUUUGUGGAUGUUGGGGAUCCUCCUCUUAUGAGCUCAAGCUCCUGGUUUUUGGCUUCUUGACUGUUGGGUUGAUUGGGUCUUUGUUUUGGGUUGCAUCUACAUGGUUGAUGCUUUUUGUUCUCAACUGUUACUUGUAUCGGGGUUGGUAAUGAUCUUCAUGUAUUCGACUUCUAUAUGUAUUGGGGGACUUUUUGUAUCUUGACUUGUGGGGCCUCUCAUAUGUAAUGGGUUUUUUGGCAUUUUGGGUAGCGUUAGACUUUUCUUUUUAUGGGCUACAAUCAGAGGUUUUCUUUCAGAUUCUUUCCUGCUAGUAUGCCCUUUUGAAUCCGGU